UGACUCUAUUACAGUUUCUCAAAUUUACAUAAAGUGUUUUCUUAAUAAAAGUUGAUAGGAGAAAAAGAAAUAACUUCAGUGUCAGCACUUCUGUGCAAGUAUUUCUCUUUUGUGCUACUGAAAUACUGAAAAAACACCUCUACAGUAACAAAGGCAAUCCUGUUACAAAGUGUUGUCCUCCAUCAGCAUUUGAUACACCUGGAUAUUUCUUCUACAUUCACCUACCAUGAGGGAAGUAUUUUCAUUCCAUACAGAGACUACUGAGACCACUGGUUAUACUUCUUUCCAAAAUUUGUAUCAGUAAGUGAAAUGAAAUGAGACAUCUUAAAGAAUAAACUUUCCAGGCAGAUCAUAAGCUAGGUGAAACUAAUGUAUGUCGUUCUAAGACAUGUUCUGAAGCAUAUAUGUGAUAUUUUGGGGUUUCUAUUUGUUAUGGAGGUUGGACUUCAUGACUCUGAGUUUCCUUCCAACCCAAAUGUUUUUAUGGUUCUGUGAUUCAAAUUUUGUCUGAAAAGUUACAAAACAUUUCAGUAUGAAAGAUAUUGGAACACUAGAUAGGAACUAUAUUGAGUUUCAGCAAAACUUGAUUAUUCUGUUUAUUUUUUAUGAUCAGAUACAGAAACUUGUUCUACGGAGAAGACAUCCACAGUUAAAGAUAAGAAUGAGUCAGAGAUGUGGGCAUCACUUAGGGAAUUUUGAACAUUGUUGUGCAAUGAUUUUUAGAACAUUUGGAUUAAGAUGUACACAAAAAAGCUGAGGAAAAAUGGUUGUUUUUUUUUUUUUUUUUUACUGAAUUUUUAAGCUGUACUGAAAUCAAUCAUGGAAAAAAAUAAAACAGCAAAUAGUUCAGAAUCUACUACUUCACUUAAGAUAAACGAAAAGAAUUAAGAGAUCAGAGACGUAUAUCUGUGGGAAAAAAAGAGCAUCCAGCAAAUGAAUAUGCGGGAUGCUUCAAGGGAGGGAUGAUCUCAGCUAUUACAAGUAGGAGACUAGUUCCAAAUGAAAGAGAUUAUAAAAACUAUAAUUAGCUAAUGCUUCCUAAAAGCCUAACUAAACUGUUGGGUUUUUUCCAUUCCAAAGUGCAAUACCACAGUGUGAUCAAGUGUCACAUAGCAAGUGCAGACAGAAGAUCUGACAUUAUUUCAGGACAGACUUGUAAGCUCUGUGAAACAGAUACUUUUCUGUUAAUGAUGCUGUGAUUUCUGAAGAACUGUUUACUUACUAUAUUGGAAUGUAAUAAGAACAUCACCAUUAAUUGUCACCAAUUUGCACUAAUUUUAUUUACAUGUCUACGGUUAACUCUUCUUUAAUCUCUAAUCUGUGUUGUAAAUUAUUAAGAAAGCCGAUGGAUUGCUGGAGUGAAUAGAAUCCCUAGUCUCAUAAAAGCCAAUUUACUCUUCUCAGAAGUGGUCUCAUUACUUUUUUAUUUAAUAUACAAGGUAUUUAACAUAAUAACCUGAUGAAGGAUGACUGCGUCUGCUCUGCAUGGAUCACAUUCUGUCCCCAGAGAGUUUUCAAAGUACAGAAAUAUGCAACACUUCAAAUCCUGACAGAGAAUAAGCCAAGAUCCCUGUUCUUAUAAACUGCCAGCAAAUGCUGCUUGACCUUUGCUCUAAACUUGUAGGUAACAGAGGGAAGCAUCACAGAAGAAGCAGAAGGACUAGCAACGUGAAGGCAUUUCAGGAGUGUGUGGCAAAUGCUGUCUUACAGAAGACAGGCAAUUUGUACUGUCCACUGGAAUGACAGAAGAAAAAAUAAAGUGGUUUUCUGAGGCUUUUACUAAAUAUGGAAGCACAGGCUUCAUUAUCCCAAGUGCACCCCAUCACACCUGCCCAAACUGAUGAAUGCAAAUGAAACAAGACACUGGACUUUACAGUUGAAAAAGGAUUAUUUAUCUGACUCUGCAGAAAUGCUAACCAUGCAUUUCUGGACCACUGUUAAUCAAAGAAUCUACCUCAAGUAGCUGUCUGCCUCAAGUGAGGUUUUUCUGGAAAGAAGCUUGCAAAAAACAGGUUAUUGGAAUUUUGGCAAAUGCCUGAGAGACUUUUAUCCAGCCACAAAGAUGCACAGUUCCCAAGAAAACCUGCUUUUUAAUUAUUUUGAUAGUAAACAGUUUUAAAACUGUAACUUAAGGUUACUUCCACGUGUGAUAACAAGCUAUCAAAUGAAAUGUGCCUAAAGAGAAAAUGACAGUGAAAUUAUAUGCAGAAUUAAU
This 2215-nucleotide long non-coding RNA is filed under the name Gallus gallus (chicken). Its description in RNAcentral is "lncRNA (ENSGALG00010013761.1)". Lineage: Eukaryota; Metazoa; Chordata; Aves; Galliformes; Phasianidae. The record is from RNAcentral.